RNAcentral lists this ribosomal RNA (450 nucleotides) under uncultured bacterium. Its description in RNAcentral is "bacterial SSU rRNA". It matches the Rfam family "Bacterial small subunit ribosomal RNA", at positions 330 to 793 of the family's 1533-position model. The record is from RNAcentral.
GCCAGACUCCUACGGGAGGCAGCAGUGGGGAAUAUUGGGCAAUGGAGGCAACUCUUACCCAGCAAUGCCGCGUGAAUGAAGAAGGUCUUCGGAUUGUAAAGUUCUUUAAUUGGGGACGAAAAAAAUGACGGUACCCAAGGAAUAAGCCCCGGCUAACUACGUGCCAGCAGCCGCGGUAAUACGUAGGGGGCGAGCGUUAUCCGGAUUCACUGGGCGUAAAGGGAGCGCAGGCGGCACGGCAAGUCCGGUGUGAAAGCCCGGGGCCCAACCCCGGGACUGCACUGGAAACUGCCGGGCUGGAGUGUCGGAGGGGCAGGCGGAAUUCCUAGUGUAGCGGUGAAAUGCGUAGAUAUUAGGAGGAACACCGGUGGCGAAGGCGGCCUGCUGGACGACGACUGACGCUGAGGCUCGAAAGCGUGGGGAGCAAACAGGAUUAGAUACCCGAGUAAG